GCAUCUUUGAGUCAAAGGUGUUUUCUACACCAAGCAAGGGAAACUAGUUUAAAUUUAAAUAUUACUACUAUGUGUUGAGAUUGAAUUGUGUGAUGGUGGAAUAUGAUGCUUUAUUGUGUUGAAAUCUAAUUUAAAAUGAUGUUUCUAUAAGAUUGAAUAUGUAAUGAAGUUUAGUAUGUAUUCAGAGCUCAUUUUGCAUUGAUGGUGAUUCUGAUUAGUUAUGGGACCUAGCUAGAUUUGCUUUAGGUAUCGGUUAAAUAUUAAUGUGUGUUUUCAUCUAAAAUAUGAGUGAAAUGCCUAGGUAGAUUAGUUAGGAGCACAACUAACAGAAUUGGUUUUGCAAAAUUAUGUAGACUCGUUGUGAGAGCAUGUAUUCUAGAGAGCUCAACAUUUUUACUUGCUGGGCGAACUACCACGUGAAGAGCGCUGCUAAGAGGUAUGUUCAUUGAGCGAGUAAGAGUGGUUGAGCUAAAAUGAAAAUAUCAAAAACCCAACAGUGCAGUGUGUACUUGACUCCCUAGGUGCGAGGAUAUUCACUAGGCAAAUUUUAAAGAAUUUAUUCCAAGUAUUCUCUUGUUAGGCAAACCUGCACUUCACUAACGGGAGAGUUUUAUGUAAAAACAGAGAGCAUCAAUGGCAUAUAUUCAUAGGGCGAGUAAUAUAGUCGCCAGGGCAAGCAUCACUUCAGUAGAUACUCGCUCAGCGAGACAUUCAUUUGCUAAGCGAGCAUCUUUUUUAUGAAUAUGUAAAUCUUGUCUUUAUUUAUUUGUUGUAUGAUGUGUAUGUGAUAACAUUCCUUCUAGCUAGGUUGGGCCAAAACUAGAAGAGAUGCCAUGGAGAUGGUUGAAAUGGUGAUGGGAUGCAAAAAUUUGGUGGGGGGAGGAGCUAAGGCUCUCAACCAAAGGUACUAUAAUGUGGAAGGGAAUGAUGUUUGGUUAUGCUUAAGGAGAGGUUAGGCUAACUCUAUGAGAAGGGUGGCUAGAGAAGACAACUUAGGAUGCUCUAGUUAUGGGUGACCUAAGAUGAGUAAUAUGGCUAAAAAUGAUAGCAUAACAUUAUUCAAAUUCAAAGGUAAUUACAAGAGGGGGAGACACCUAUAUUUAUAGGCUAAGGGUGUCUCUAAUUUGUAGAAGCAAAACUUAAAAACUCAAACUUGACUAGCUUGGAGAACAAGGUGAAAAUCCUCUCUAUUAGGAGGAGAACAUAUGGCUACUACCUAUGGGAAAUCCUCUCUAAUGUGAGAGUGACACAUGGCCACUAACACAUAGGUGGGACACCCACUCCCUUAUGCACCAAGCUAGCUUGAAAACAUUAACCCCUUUGGUCAAACAACCAUGGACGUCCACUUGGGUCAAUAUUGGGCCUUGGCCAUUUGUUGACUUAAAUGGUCAAAUACCCUAUUCUACUUGGCCCAAAAAUAAACCUUACUAGGCCCAUGAUACAAAACCCAUAAUUAUUCUACUCUUUGAUGGUCGAAGAGAAGAAGAGCUUGACUUCACCUUUCAUGGUUGACUCUUCUUGGAUUUGCUUGGCUAUGCUUCUUUGGAUUAGAGCCUUGGCUAGGGGUUUGCCAUCAUCCCCUCCCUUUUAAGAAGGAUUUGACCUUAAAUCUAGAGGCUUUUCAUCUCCAUCUUGCUCCCAAUCUCCUAAAAAAGGGGUUAUAUCACACACAUGGAAUGUGUCACUCACAUCAUAUUCACAUGGCAACUCCAACCUAAAUGCAUUAUUUUUUAUUCUUUGAAGCACUCUAAAUGGUCCAUUACCACUGGUGAUUUCCCAUGUCCAUCUCCUAGGAAGACCUUGUAAGGUGGUAUUUCUUCUAUUGUCAAGCCUAAAUCAGCCACCAAGUCUACUGAAAUAAAAUUGUGGAUUGCUCUACUAUCAAUUAGAAUUAAUACCUUUUUUCCCUUCACCCACCCCUGGAGUUUCAUGGUGUUGGAUUGGGUUAGUCCCCCUACUUAGAACACAGAUAGUUCCAUAUAUUUUUGCUUCAUCUCCUCCUUUUCUUACCUCUUUCCUUCCUACCCAUCUUCAACCAUUAUUAGCACUCGUAUAUUCUUUUUUGGGCAUUUAUAGUGGAAAAUAACACUGAUUUAUUAUUCAAAUCAUUGAAAAUACAUUCUGAUACCCUCUGUUUGUAAUAAUCUAAUUCUCCUAAAAUGGGAAAUAGGGAAACUAGGAAAUCUAGAGAAAAUAAAAUAAAAUAAAAGAUUAUGUAUAUAUUUCCUCUAAUUAGGAAGAUUCUAAAGAUAUUAUCUCAAAUUACAAUAAUGUCUAGGGCUAUACGCCCCUCCACAAUGAAAUCACCUCAUCACUUCCUCCCUUCUCCUAAUGUGUUAUGGGUAAGGUAGAUUUCGUACUCCCCUACUCCUGCUUUCCCUCACUGUAUUUCCUCCCAUCUUGGAGCCAAUAGAGGUUCCUUCUCCCUCUUUCGUAGCAAUGAUAAUGUUGCUAGAGGUCCCUUGACCACUCCUUGCGCCCUUGAACGUUUUCGUUCUAGAUACUGUCCUCAUUCCUCCUUGAUACCGAAACAAUGAGUUGUUGUUUCAAUUUGUCCCUCCUCCUAUUGAUCUAGUCUCCUUCGUUACCUCUUCCACGUCCCUAGCUAUUUCCAUAGCUCUUAUUAAAUCUUUGGGGUUAUGAGGCCUGAUUUGGCUUCUAACUUCACACUGCAGCCCUACAAAGAAAUACCCUAGGAGGAGUUGUUCUUCUGACAGUUCUGAUGUUUGAGAAACCAGCAUCUCAAAUUCCUUAAUGCAUUCUUCCACUUCCCCAUUCUGUCUUAAGGCUACCAAAUUCUCAAAGACAGAAUACCUUUCUCUUCCCCUAAACCUCCUGAUCAACGCUUCUAUCAACUCCUCCCAAGAAGGAGUCUUGACCUUCUUUUUCCAGAAUCUAAACCGAAUCUAAACCAAUGGUUGGCCCCUCCUUCCAUACUAAUGAAUGCCAAGCGAAUUUUUUCUUUAAACGAAAUGUUCUGGAUUACAAAGAACUUUUCUACUCUUGUUAUCCAUCCCAUCGGAUUUGUUCCUUCAAAAGAGAGUAAUCCUACCCUUUUCAUCUAACACUUUUGCAUUUCCUCCUCUUACCCCUCAGAUUCUUCCACUGGUUCUUCCUUUCAUCCCUUUUCCCUCCAUUAACAAAGUUCUGGCUGCAUUUUGAUCCCCUCUCAUGAAUUUUAGACUUUCACAUCCUUUCUUUUAUUUCUUGAAUGUUUUCCCUUAAUUCUUGCAUAUUAUCUUUCAUUUCCGUCAUGGCUUUUCCUUGUUCACCGGCCUAUCUCUCAAAAAAGAGUAUUUACUCUCCCCUCCAUGAUCCUACCUCUCCUUGAUCCGGCAAGUCAGACCAAAUAUUAGGUUUUUGGUGACAAGAAGCCGAAAACGUUCAGAGUUUCCAUCCACAAACACCAGUAUUGAUAAUCUCAACACUAGAAAACAAUCUUAUUAUUCCAACACAAGCACACAAAAACCACUAAGGGAUAAUGUUUCCCUUCACAUAGGAUGUCACUAAUCCUAUCCAGCCUCUUCAAAUACAAAAUUCGUACCUUCUAAAAGACACCACCCCUCCUAUAUAUGGUCUUCCCCUUAAGGAGACUUACAACAACCCGAACCACCUAACCACUAACAACUUAUGAGUUGAAAAUGAAACUUAUUAUUAUUCUCAAUCAUGAAAAAUACAUUCUCAAACCUUCUAUUUGUAAUAAUCUAGUUCUU
RNAcentral lists this long non-coding RNA (3713 nucleotides) under Vigna radiata. Its description in RNAcentral is "long non-coding RNA (VRAD_LNC016541)". Lineage: Eukaryota; Viridiplantae; Streptophyta; Magnoliopsida; Fabales; Fabaceae. The record is from RNAcentral.